AGAGUUUGAUCCUGGCUCAGGAUGAACGCUAGCGGCGGGCCUAAUACAUGCAAGUCGAACGGUGCAGCAAUGCAUAGUGGCAGACGGGUGCGUAACGCGUAUGCAACCUACCUUUUAUCGGGGGACAACAUUUCGAAAGAAGUGCUAAUACCGCGUAAGAUAGUAGUGGGACAUCCCACAGCUAUUAAACUUUCGGGGAUAGAAGAUGGGCAUGCGUCUGAUUAGCUAGUUGGCGGGGUAACGGCCCACCAAGGCGACGAUCAGUAGGGGAACUGAGAGGUUGAUCCCCCACAUUGGCACUGAGAUACGGGCCAGACUCCUACGGGAGGCAGCAGUAGGGAAUAUUGGGCAAUGGACGGAAGUCUGACCCAGCCACGCCGCGUGCAGGAGGAAGGCGCUCUGCGUUGUAAACUGCUUUAGCAGGGGAAGAAAAGACUCAUGCGUGAGGAAUUGACGGUACCCUGAGAAUAAGCACCGGCUAACUACGUG
RNAcentral lists this ribosomal RNA (489 nucleotides) under uncultured bacterium. RNAcentral's name for it is "bacterial SSU rRNA". It matches the Rfam family "Bacterial small subunit ribosomal RNA", at positions 8 to 507 of the family's 1533-position model. The record is from RNAcentral.